GACGAACGCUGGCGGCGUGCUUAACACAUGCAAGUCGAACGGAAAGGCCCUGCUUUUGUGGGGUGCUCGAGUGGCGAACGUGUGAGUAACACGUGAGUAACCUGCCCUUGGCUUUGGGAUAACUUCAGGAAACUGGGGCUAAUACCGGAUAGGAGCUCCUGCUGCAUGGUGGGGGUUGGAUAGUUUCGGGGGUUGGGGAUGGACUCGCGGGUUAUCAGCUUGUUGGUGGGGUAGUGGCCUACCACGGCGUUGAAGGGUAGCCGGCCUGAGAGGGGGGCCGGCCCACCUGGGACUGAGAUACGGCCCAGACUCCUACGGGAGGCAGCAGUGGGGAAUAUUGCACAAUGGGCGCAAGCCUGAUGCAGCGACGCCGCGUGAGGGAUGACGGCCUUCGGGUUGUAAACCUCUUUCACCAGGGACGAAGCGUAAGGGACGGUAACUGGAGAAAAAGCACCGGCCAACUACGUG
This 468-nucleotide ribosomal RNA is filed under the name uncultured bacterium. Its description in RNAcentral is "partial 16S ribosomal RNA". It matches the Rfam family "Bacterial small subunit ribosomal RNA", at positions 28 to 507 of the family's 1533-position model. The record is from RNAcentral.